GAGUCACCUUGAAUAAGUACAUGGUUAUCUUCUGCUUUAGACAGAAGGAUAAAAUGAUAGGGCUAGCCUCAGGCUACCCUCAAGAGAUUAGAGACAUGGGAGCUCAAGGAUGGAAGAGAGGAAUAGGAAAGCAGCCCAUCCCUCCUCCAACACUGGGUUUUGGCACAUCUCAUUGACAGGGUUCCUUAGAAAACCGUGCAAUUAAUUCCUCCUUAGGUGAUUUUAAGAGAGACAGAAAAGAAGUAGGCGGUAGAGAAGGGAAAGGAGAACAGGGUAUCUAUAUAUAUAGUCUACUCCCUGGGGCAGGAGCUCUUUAUAGAUAACAAACUCUUAAGUGGAAAGGAGCUGUUUUAUGAACAUACUUUGCCUCUUGGCUUUGGGCCAUGAGAACAUGACAGUAGGCAAAAUGGCUAGGGAUAGAGGGGAGGUCAGGGUGUACAGGGGUAUUGAGAUCAGUCUACAAGCCCUGUUCUAUGCCAGGCCCUGACCUAGGUGCUAAGGGUACAAAAACCAGAAAAAAUGAGACAGUCCCCGUCCUCAAGGUGCUUACCUUCUCUGGGGGGAACAACACAUAUACUUAUAAGCAAAUACCAUACAAAGCCAUCUAUGGGGAGGGGACUCACUAGCAUUUGGGUGAUCAGGAGAGGAGGUCUCAGGAAGGACUUUGCAAUUGAAGCUUUAUAGGAAAGCUAGGGAUUCUGAGAGGGAGAGGGAAAGAGGGAGUGUAUUCCAGGUAUGGAACAGUAGGCAAAAAUCUCAGAACUGGGUGUGAACUGUCUCCAAGCAAUCCUGAUAUUCCACCUAGCCAGAGAAGCUAAAAGAUGGGUGACAUUGGUGUUCGUGGACAGCAGUGACCCGAUGGUGCUCGCUACUUCAGCUCUGCUGGCUUGCAUGCAUUGUGGGUGGCAGUUGGCUGGCAGUUGGUGGGGAUGACGGGUCCCUUUUCCACAGGACUUGCCUACGUGGAAGAUGGCUAUGAGAGCUGGUCUGGGCACAGGACCAGUGAUCUGGGGAGGGCUUUCACCCCCAGGGCUCCUGUGCUUAUCAGUUAUGAAGAGGACAACCAGUGACUUAAGUUGUAGGCAACGUUAUGUGAGGAUGGCUUUCAGGAUCAACUCAAGGAUUAGACCUGAGAUUUCCUUGGCAUAGGGAGCUUCCAGAUAAGAAAAGUCUUUCUGCCAAUGUAGAUGUUGAUAUUCCAUUCCCAAGGUGGACGUGUCUGCAUUUGGAAGUGACCUGUUGAGUUCUAGAGGUUCUGAAGUCAGGGGUCCAGUGAGAGGAAAUAGUUUUGGCAAAGGCAAGGAGAAGAGUGGAGGAAGUAUGGCUACGAACAAAAGGACUGGCUCAAAUCUGGCUAUUUUCCAGCCCACAUGCUUGGAUAAUCCUGGGCCAAGGUGAAAUGUAAAAUGCUUCAUUAGAAGUGCUGCUAACGACUUGAUGUUCUAAUGAAUUUUAAGUGUCUGUUUCCUAGCAAAUUGAAAGAAAUAAUUAUAAGUUAAGUCACUGAGUCCCGUUUAAGUGUAUUUUUGUUAGUCAUGCUGGUGAGGAUCCUGGGCUUAACAUUCCUUUUGUGUGUAGGAGUAAGUUUACCUGUCAGCCUGCACUUGGAAUAUCUUGUUUACUCCUUCUGGGGAAGGCCCUGGAGCCAACAAUAAAGUCUUCCCUGAGGGAUGAUUUUACUUUACU
Monodelphis domestica (gray short-tailed opossum) is the source of this 1686-nucleotide long non-coding RNA. Lineage: Eukaryota; Metazoa; Chordata; Mammalia; Didelphimorphia; Didelphidae. The record is from Ensembl.